AACGCACCUUGCGCUCCUUGGUAUUCCGAGGAGCAUGCCUGUUUGAGUGUCAUUAAAUUCUCAACCCCAUCAAUUUGUUUUGAUUGUGGGCUUGGAUUGUGGGGGCUUGCUGGUGGACUCUUGUUCAUCGGCUCCUCUGAAAUGUAUUAGCAAAGGUUGAUGUGCGAACCAGUGUCUCGGUGUGAUAAUGACCAUCGUGUCUGACGUGCAGUGUUCCUGUGCUUACAGUCGUUGUCGCAAGACAACAUUUUUGAACCUUUGACCUCAAAUCAGGUAGGAUUACCCGCUGAACUUAA
RNAcentral lists this unclassified non-coding RNA (296 nucleotides) under uncultured fungus. RNAcentral's name for it is "partial contains 5.8S ribosomal RNA, internal transcribed spacer 2, and large subunit ribosomal RNA". The stretch from base 1 to 52 matches the Rfam family "5.8S ribosomal RNA", at positions 103 to 154 of the family's 154-position model. RNAcentral also lists the same sequence under 1 other name. Lineage: Eukaryota; Fungi. The record is from RNAcentral.